CUUGUACAGCCUUUAGCUGGGGCAGGGGCAGGGCAGGAGCAGUCUGCAGCAGAGCAUUUACAAGGCAGACACAGCCCUCCUCACUCUGGAACAUGCACCACCCAGGUCUUCCCUCAGCUCUCCACUAAUUCCUCGCCGCAGCCGUGCCUUCUGCCUUCUUCCCUCCCUUCACACAACAUUUCCCCCACCCCCCCCACUAUUUGUCUAAAUGGGAUUUUAGCAGCACUGAAGCAGAAGUUUAUUUUGGUUCAUCUCGUUGUAUUGUGGAGUGAGAGAGAGAAAGAGAAGUCCUGAGAACUCAACAGGGAACACCAUGGCCAUUAAUACCGACACCCAAUAUGAGAAGGUACUGGGAGGUUCAGGGAACCCUCUGCCCACAGACUCCCAUGAGACUGAGAAACUCCUCACCAAUGCCUCAGAGAAUAAGGAGGAGAAUGGCAUGAAGAAGUCCUUUUCUGUCACCAUGUCCAGCGAGAAGUCUAUGGGAGACCUGGAACAAAAUGGCCACAACCUGCCUUACAAAUCGGUAUCAGCUGGGCAACUGGAGUCUGCCCCUCUCUCGCCCUCCAGGGUCAGCCUUGCCAGGGCGUCCUCCACUGCCACCACCACCCAAGAGCAGGGCAGGCCCACCGACUAUCUCAUCCUGGCCAUCUUCUCCUGCUUCUGUCCAGUCUGGCCAGUCAACAUCGUAGCACUGGUCUUCUCCAUCAUGUCAAGAAACAGCAUGCAGCAGGGCGAUUUAGAUGGAGCCCGGAGAUUAGGACGUUUAGCCAGGCUACUGAGUGUCGUCUCCAUCUUGCUUGGACUUGUCAUUAUCGUGCUGUGUAUUCUCAGCCUUACAGUUUUUCAGUAGGUUUUCCAGUUGAAAGGAAGCCAAAUGGGAGAUGCGGACAUGGCCUGCCUUCCCUUCACACACUUUUUAUCCUCCUCACUGCAAACGAGUCUAAUGUUAGAGGGAGAACCAGGUCCAGUCCCACCCAAGGUCCAAGGGAUUGCAUGCAGCACUUUAAACGCCACGCCCUUGGGAAUGGAAAGAGUAGCAGGAGAACAUCGUACAAGAGAAUGGACUUGAAACAAGACAAAUGCAAGAUGCCAAGAGGCUGCGUUUAACAGGGAACCCUCAAGAUGGACAAUGAUUGGUUGGGCAUCCUGGGACUUGCAUUCAGGUGAUGGCACAACCCCUGUUUUUAUUUCCAGCUUUUGUAUCAAAGGAAUGAAAGCUAUUGUAUGUAUUAUAUGAUAUAGCUGAAAACUGCCAAAUAUAGGGUAAUUAGAAAAGACCCUCACAUGCAGGACAACGCUGUGUGGCCUCCCCUGUUUUGGAUGAUGAUGCUUCUUCGCUGACAAAAUGGAACAGGACUUUUAAUCACUUUUGUUUUUUAAAACUAUUUUUGAUGAGUAAUUCAAGAGAAUUGCACCAGUUGCAUGGUUGUAUUCCCUGCUGCAAUGAUCACCUCUUCGCCUUUGCUUGCGUUUGGCUGGAUGUGAAAAUCCCCCAGAAUAUAUACAGGAUUGUUGGGUUUGGUGAGAUUUGAUUGAGUUAUACAGAGGGAUCACCCUGUGCAUAGGGAAUGCUUCGCUCAUGAAGCCCCUAAAUUUGGGGAUGAUCUUGUGGGCUCCUUGUGGACUUUAUUACUGCCUUGGCUUCUAUAUAUCAUCAGGUCCAUUAGCUUGAGAUGUGGAUGCCAGAAAUACAAGAGAAACAAUUCAUGGGAAAAUAAUGUACAGGCCAUUUAAACUGUUUACAACAAAACAAAUUCUAAUAAUAUGCAGCACUAUGGUAAAUGGCAGCAGUCAAUAAUAAAUAUAUCGAAACUUUUAGCUUAUGCCAAGAAUUCUGCUGGAGUAGCACUAUUAACUGAUGAGUUUUGAAAAAAACGUGUUUUUCCAUGACAGUAUUCCUUUAAGGAAGAGAUUUAUUUACAGAAGCCACUCCAAAGACUCGUUUUUUAUUACAAAAUAUCCCACAAAGAUUUGUUUAAAUAGCACAAACCAAGGGGGAAACUGGUGCAUCAUUCCAAUCUGACAGUUUCAGAAGGCAGGUUCUAGGGGCGGCACAGAAUUGCAUAUUAUCAGCGUCAGAUGAAAACUGCCGCAUUAGCGAAGCAUCGCCGGGUUGUAUCGAUUGUCUGUUUACUUGCAAUGAGAUAUGUAAAAACAAUGUACAGUGAAAAGAUAAGCCUAUGGGCAAACGGCUGCUUCAUUCUGUCGGUAAACUGAUUAUGUUUGAAAAAUAUCUGAACUCAACUUAUUACAAAAAACUACCAAAGGGAAACUUUCUAUCUUCAAACAAUAUCAUUUAUUUUGUACUACAAGGAACCACAAUACGGUAACGCCUAUAAUCAAUCCAAGGGCAAUAUAAGCCUAUAUGUUACUACGUACUAAUACGUGAGCCUAAACAUUUGUUUUUUGUACCAAAAAUAUAAGAGAUGAAACUUUCCUACUUUCUGUGAUCACUGACAGAGGAGGUUUAAACUGAACACACAGAAGAAGUGUAUUUAUGCCAAAGUGAGGUGCAAUGCAGACAGGGCAAAUUGCCACGCAUGGCUGUGAUCCAACCCUUGCUCAGGAGCGGCAUGUCCAUUCAACAUUAGCAUCACACCCGACAUUUUCCCAAUAGCAUAAGCUGCUAAACUUUCCUUUUGGGCGUCUCAGUCUGUAGCGCCUGCGAGACUCUCGUAUAAUUCAGCGCACAAUGGUAGCAUGCUCCGACCCCACACUCACUCCUGCCAAAACACAAGGGCAUGAUAUAAGGAAUGUAUAAAUGUGAGGGAUUGAACGCAUUCCAUUUUGUAUUUUUGGCAUGAAAGAAAUAAAGUUUACAAUGCAUGGGC
Xenopus laevis (African clawed frog) is the source of this 2834-nucleotide RNA transcript. It is a transcript of the gene named trafficking regulator of GLUT4 (SLC2A4) 1 S homeolog, with no coding region annotated. NCBI's taxonomy places the organism in Eukaryota, Metazoa, Chordata, Amphibia, Anura, Pipidae. The record is from RefSeq and is a predicted model, not a curated record. The transcript has 4 exons.